Clupea harengus (Atlantic herring) is the source of this 1109-nucleotide long non-coding RNA. The record is from Ensembl. Lineage: Eukaryota; Metazoa; Chordata; Actinopteri; Clupeiformes; Clupeidae.
GUAAGUGCUGCUUUUUUAAAUCAGAGUAAACUUGUGGUUGAAUUUUUCACUUCCGAUACACACUGAUGAUCAGUCAUAUUUGGAAUUCCACACAGAAUUCACCUUUGACACUGUCUGCGAACACAAAGCACUAGGGUUCAGCUGAAGGUCAAACGUGACCAUUGGUACACCUGUUGACAUGUGACAGGAAUUUCUAAAUGUUUUCCUCCAUUUGCAUCUUCGUUAUGGUAACGAUGUGAGGUUCUGGUGCUAUGAUAGCACUCAUAGUCAUUGGGAUAAUCAUCAUUCUGAUCAUCUUACUCAUCAUUCUCAAGACCUACAACAGGAGAACCCAUGCGUCCAGGCUGCUCGCUGGUGUUGGAGGCUCCAAACCUCAUAAAAAGUCCUCCUCCACAACACAGGUGAACAUGCGUAUGAGUCACCUGGCGCCCAGUUCCGUGUCUGGGAGUUUCGUGCUGUCGUCCAUCCCGUCAGAGAAUGGCUUCCGUCUCCCACGGGUAGACUUGGCCAAUGUUGACCAUAACAGUUUGGAGCAGUACAGCACAGCCAGCGGCUCUACGGUUGUCAGCGUACACGACGCGCCUUCCAUGGAGAACACGUAGGAGCUGCCGCUGUCACAGCCAGAGCCUCAUGGAACAGACUUCAGAAUCGACGUGCAUGUCAUAUCACAAGGAUUAAUAGAAACAACACCACAAUGAACAAAGGAGCACCGUGCUGAACGCUUGAGCGAGACAGUCACACCAUACUACUGUAGGCCACUUGUGUAAUCCAGCAUAGAGACCUGGGCGAAGGUUCACAUUGUACCACCUCGGGUCAGAGGCCAGAACGCGCUGAUCUCCAGGCUCCAUUGCUGCCCAUGGCCGUUUUACUUAUAACCCACAAUAAUUCUGUGUGAAGGAAGCGAUGCGAAGAACACAAUGAGAAUUUGAGACGGGUUAAAAUAAGCGGGUUGUAGGCUAUAUGUCAAAUUAGUUAACGCAGCCAUGUCAACUGUUUAUAUUAAUUCAACAGAUGAUUUUGCACUGACCGUUGCUGUUCUUGUGAUUGUUGUGACACGUCUUUCAUGAACCUUAAUUGAAUGUGAAUCUUUCCUAGGUUUUGAUUUAAAG